UACGUAGGGGGCGAGCGUUGUCCGGAUUUAUUGGGCGUAAAGCGCGUGUAGGCGGCUAAGUAGGUCCGCUGUGAAAACUCGAGGCUUAACCUCGAGCUGUCGGUGGAAACCAUUUGGCUUGAAUCCGGGAGAGGGAUGCAGAAUUCCAGGUGUAGCGGUGAAAUGCGUAGAUAUCUGGAGGAAUACCGGUGGCGAAGGCGGCAUCCUGGACCGGCAUUGACGCUGAUGAGCGAAAGCUAGGGGAGCAAACGGG
Molecule: ribosomal RNA, 253 nt
Filed under: uncultured bacterium
Lineage: Bacteria
Description: partial 16S ribosomal RNA
Rfam family: Bacterial small subunit ribosomal RNA
Source: RNAcentral